Molecule: long non-coding RNA, 471 nt
Organism: Homo sapiens (human)
Lineage: Eukaryota; Metazoa; Chordata; Mammalia; Primates; Hominidae
Exons: 3
Source: RefSeq, a predicted model, not a curated record
UUUCUUGGAUCAGUCGCUUUGGAGGAAGCCAGCUGCCAUGUUUUGAGGACACUAAGGCACUUUAUGGAGAGGCCCACGUGUAAAUCCUUCUCCUCCCAGAAGCAUUUAAAAAUCCACAAACCAUGGCUAACUUCCUGUGAAAUGGCUUAGUGGGCAAAAAUUCAGAAUAAGGGGAGUGUGAGUCCAUGUCUCCUUUCCAGAGAUGAAGAAGUUUGUCUUUUCUGUGCAUGAAGAAGACAAUGGGAUAUGGAUGACACUAAACCUUUGAAAGUUCCUGCUAACCUCCAGGUGGAAGGAAAAGGCCCACGGUGAUCAAUAAAUGUGUUUGCUAUUUUUUGGGUGAAAGGAAGAGAGCCUGCACCUCUGUUGGGUUCUUGUUCUAGGUGCUGGUGAUAGAACUGUGAACCAAAGGUCAUUGCCUUCAAGGAGUUUAUAUUCAAGUGGAGAAGAUGGAAAACCCUCCCCUCACGA